CGGGCCGCGAGCUGCGCGCUGCUGGCUCCCGGCCGCCGCCGGGUUUGUGCCGCGCGCCGACUCACCGAGCCGCCCGCCGAGUCCGCGUCUACACCCCCAUCCGACCCGAUUGGAUUUUUGGCGUCUGUCUAUAUAGAGGUGGAGGGGAACAAUUCACCGUCUUGAUUUCCAAAACAAACAAGCCCGGACAGGGGUGCUGGUCCCCGUGGAAACGACUCAACCCUGUUUUCCGUCACUUGCACCUGGCUCCCGGGUUGCCCUGGCCCUGCAAGCCGGGGUCCACGAAAAUGCGAUUUUAACAACUUUU
Long non-coding RNA from Neofelis nebulosa (Clouded leopard), 307 nucleotides. RefSeq lists it as uncharacterized. Lineage: Eukaryota; Metazoa; Chordata; Mammalia; Carnivora; Felidae. The transcript has 2 exons. The record is from RefSeq and is a predicted model, not a curated record.